Molecule: ribosomal RNA, 615 nt
Filed under: uncultured bacterium
Lineage: Bacteria
Description: bacterial SSU rRNA
Rfam family: Bacterial small subunit ribosomal RNA
Source: RNAcentral
CAGUGGCGCACGGGUGAGUAACACGUGACUAACCUACCCUGGAGUGGGGGAUAACUGAGGGAAACCUUAGCUAAUACCGCAUAAUACCUACGGGUCAAAGGAGCAAUUCGCUUCAGGAGGGGGUCGCGGCCGAUUAGUUAGUUGGCGGGGUAAUGGCCCACCAAGACAGUGAUCGGUAUCCGGCCUGAGAGGGCGCACGGACACACUGGAACUGAAACACGGUCCAGACUCCUACGGGAGGCAGCAGUGGGGAAUUUUGCGCAAUGGGGGAAACCCUGACGCAGCAACGCCGCGUGGAGGAUGAAGUCCUUCGGGACGUAAACUCCUUUCGAUCGGGACGAUAAUGACGGUACCGGAAGAAGAAGCCCCGGCUAACUUCGUGCCAGCAGCCGCGGUAAUACGAGGGGGGCGAGCGUUGUUCGGAAUUAUUGGGCGUAAAGGGUGCGUAGGCGGUUUGGUAAGUCUUAUGUGAAAUCUAUGGGCUCAACUCAUAGACUGCAUGAGAAACUGCCGGGCUUGAGUAUGGGAGAGGUGAGUGGAAUUCCUGGUGUAGCGGUGAAAUGCGUAGAUAUCAGGAGGAACACCUGUGGCGAAAGCGGCUCACUGGACCAUAAC